GUGCCCUCGUGCGGGCACACAGGGCAGCGUGCUAGGGAGGGCAGCGAGCUGACAACGAAGACAGGCGAAAAGGCGAAGGGGAGAUCAUCAUUCCACUUCACAUUGAAGGGGUAACAUGCAGUAGCGCUGACGGCCAGCUGGACUUGUUCCUGUUCGAUUGCGUGCCCCUACUGCGCGUGCGCUCACCUCCGUUUUUCCUCUUCCGCCUCGCCACUAUACGCACUUGCGAAGCGCACGUCUUCGUUGCUCCAUGGGCAGUGGCGUAAGCCCCUGAGCACAAGGUGGUGCACUCCGCGCACCCACACACACCGGCGAUGCACAUAACCACAGCGAGGCAGCCUGCCACAGACGCUCACAUAAAUGCCAGCCUGCAGUCUUGCUGAGGCGUUGUGCGGAAGGCGCUGAAUGCUAUGGAAAAGAGCAACGGCGGCGUGUGUGUGUGGAGGGGGGAGGGCGGAGCACCGUGAGGCCUCUCGGCCUCGUUUCGUCAGCCUCGGCUGGAGAUACCGGAAGGCCAGGGCGAGACGGGAAGGGGCAUGUGAGUGCGUUGAUGGGGCGGCGAGGCGUUAUCAUCCCGCUUUUUCUCAUGUUUGAGCUGUACGAAAGGACCGUAGUGUUUCUUCUGCCUCCCUCUCCCACUUCAGUGUCUGCGCUGCUGCGCGACAUGAAAGCGCUGAGUCCAUUCUCUCGCUACCUUCUUCCGUUGCUUGUUUUCGCUUUGUGUUGCUCAUUUCUUUACCUUUCUCCUGUGCGCGUGCGUGUGUUGCUCGCCAGGAGGGAAGGGUGUGUGAAGAAGCGGAGCCGACUCUCGUCCUCGUUUAGUGUGGCAAGGC
RNAcentral lists this unclassified non-coding RNA (833 nucleotides) under Leishmania donovani. RNAcentral's name for it is "gene:unknown". Lineage: Eukaryota; Euglenozoa; Kinetoplastea; Trypanosomatida; Trypanosomatidae. The record is from RNAcentral.